UCAGCUAGUGGUGAGCUCCAUCCUCUGAUCUUCGGGCAAGCUUUUUUGUACAAGCAAGACAUCACCACACGGUAGGAUGGCAGCGAGGCUCAGGAAGGCUACAGACAGCAGUGUCUCUGGCAGGUUGAUAUACCAGCAGGCUGGAUGCCAGCGGCUCUAGGUGACUCCCUUGGUGACUGCAGAGCAAGGACGACAGGCUUCUAACACAGCCACAGACAGCACAGCAGCCAGCCCCAUCUACUGGCUCCCUUGCUUUACUCAAUACCACCUAAGGCGAUGCCAUGUCUGAUUGAGUCUCCCAGGUGUGCUGAAAUCAGACACCAAGGAGGCAGCGACAGAGAUGGGUGCCUGAGGGUAACAGAGUUGUGAGAGCGGGAGUGUGCUCAUGGGGGGUGUCCUGCUGCAUGUGUUUCUCUUAUUGGUUGAUGACUAAGACACUGAUUGACCAGGCGGAAAGGUAGGCGGGGCUAGGAGAUGAAGAAGAGAAGGUGGAGAGAGGCUGCCAGGAGGAGAAGCCAUGUAGCCGCCAAAGGAGUAACAGAUCCGGGCAUUCGCCGAUAAGCCAAGUCCAUGUGGAAACACAUAGAUUUAUAGAAAUGGGUUAAUAAUUAAGAUGGAGCUAGCCAGUAAGAAGCCCUAGCCAUCGGCCAACAGUUUUAUAAUCAAUAGAGUAUCCGUGUGCUUAUUUGGGGCUGAAGGGUGGUGGGAAUGCAUGAGCAGUGUGCAUCCCCACAGCAGAUACCCCGGAAUCUGGGCCUGGAUCCUUUACCAUGGGAGGGUGCAUGGAGCUGACUAUGGGCUAAGGCCCAGAAGCGGUGGGCCUUCUCUAGAUUUGGUUCUACUGCACUCUGACCUUGAACCUCUGACCUCUAGAGAUUUGGGCACGAGGAUCUGUUGUGCAUCUGCCACUGGGUUGUGGUGCCAUCUUACAGCAAUCCUGGGGGACUGAGGCAGAGGGGACAAGGGUGGGUUAUUUGCCAUAGCACCAGGACAGGCCUGUGGGAGGCCCUAGCUGCAUCAGCUCCUGCCAGGUGGGUUGGCUCUCGUUCCCUUACAGGGCACACAGAUCUGGGGGAUCUGGGGUGGUGUUGCCAGAGACCCCUUCAGAAAGGGAGACUUGUUCCCUCCAGGAAAGCAGAGGGCACGCUGCACCCUGCCUUGUAUACAUCAGUGCAGGGAUUGCUUUGUCAGAACACUUCAGGGAGUUGGUUACCAGGCAGCCAGUGAAAGGAGGAUGGCAAUUUACAUAUGCAAAUUAGGCAGGAUCAUGCCAAGUGAUCUCACUCAAUGCUUCAUUUGCAUUUUAGGAGUCCUUGUACAGGGGGACAGGAAUGACCAGUUAGGGAUUAUAAUGUUAGUAACAGAGGCGGUAAGAUGACAGACAGUGAAGUCUGCGGUGAGGUGACAUGUCUGUCUUAAGUCCACAGGCCUCUGCCACUCCUCACCUUGGAUGUGAAGAAAUUGAGGCUGGGUCUCAGAGCCCUGGUAGGGUUCAGUGGGCACCCCUGGUCUGUUCCUACCAUGAUGAACAUGCUGGAAGGUUAGGCUGUCCUGGGCCCUCACCUCACAGAUGCACUUGUCGAAGCCAACCGUGUAGUGUGUGAGUGAGCUGCUGAACUCUGUGUAAGCCAGAGGCAUGAGGCUGCUGCCAGCACUGUCCUGCUGAAGUGUCCGCACAGCAAUUAGCUAGGAAAUUGAAUUGAGAAAACUGAUUUCCCUAAUAAAGUGAUUGCAAUGCAAUCACUCGUUAAGAUCUGGAGCUAGAGAGAGAGAUUUUGUGUCACGUCACGGCUGUCUGUCCUCACUCUGGCUUCCCGUUGGGAAUCACAUGCUUACCCACAGGCUAUGUUUCUCCUCCUGGGUCAGGCUGAUCCCAUUCCAGGCCUCUGAGGUUGUUCUCCAGGGCACAGGUUAUAGGUGAUUAUCCUGGGAGAGUCCAGGCUAAUUGCACAGCCCUGAGCUCCACUGUGCGACUGUGAUUCUUUUGGUGGGGUUGGUGCUGAAGUCAGAGGGGCUGUCAAGGUAGGAAGAGGGGAUGGUUCAUGUUUCAAGGCCCAUAAGACUGUGGAGAUCCCAGGACACGGGGCCCUGAAUCCCAGAACCACUAAGUACUUGAAAGAUCUGAAGGUAGGUAAGCUGGGGAGAUGACCCAACUGGUGAAACACUCACCAAGCAAGCAUGGGGACUUGAAUUCUAGCCUCAAAACCAUAUAAAAAGCUUCAUACAUCUGUAACCCCAGUUCUGAGGGAUCAGAGACAGGGGGAUGCUUGAAGCUUGUGAGUGAGCCAGCCUAGCUGAAUACCAGUGAGUUCCGGGUUCGGAGAGUGACCCUGUCUCAACAUAUGCACAAAAAGAUUCAGGGGUCCCCAGAGUGGGAUACUGGAGCCUCAGGGCUCUGGGCAUCUGGUGGUUUGCCCUGGAACAGCAGCUGCCCAGGUUUUCCCUGGGGUGGCAUGGGGUCAGUCUGCCUUUGGGCAUCUUUGGCAACAAAAUGGUCAGAAUCCUACACCUUGAGCCAUGGUUUGGGAGGGUCCCCUGCUGUGUGUUGCAGCGGUGGGGGCUGGAAGCCAGAGUCUUUUCAGGAGUGGCUAGAUCUGCGUCAAGCCCCAUCUGGCAUCCUCCUGCUCCCGAGACUCGUGAGGGAGGCCUUCCUCAAGGGUGUAGCUCCACGCUGGUGGCCAUCUUUUAGGAAAUGACAGCCUGAGCACCAUAACACGUGGCACUGGAUGGUUAGAACCUGAACCGGGAGAGUCUGGAGGCCCUCCUUUUCCCAUGACUCAUUCUGUGCUUUCUGGUGUUAGAACAGAUUCCAGUGGCUGGAGAGAAGAAGUCUUAGAGCUAAGAGCACUCGCUGCUCUUGCAAAGGACCUGGACUCUGUUCCCAACACCCACGUGGCAGCUCACAGCUAUGCAUGACACCAGUUUCAGGGUCUCUGAUACCUUCUUCCCGCCUCCUCUGGCACCAGACAUGUACACAGUGAUCACAUAGUUUCCUGUUUCCUUGCCCUGGAAGUCUUUCCUGGAAGAACCAAGUGGACAGGAGUGUUGGGCAAGUAGCCCUAUCUUGAAGCCAUAGGGUUCAGGACAAUACAAAGUGUGACCAGAGCCUCAAAUUCCUGCCUUCCCCAUCUCGAUGAAGUGCUCACUUGAGGGCGACCCAUAACCAACUCUUUCUUCCUUGUGAUGCCUUGGUCAGGUGUUUUGCGGCAGCAGCGUGAAAGUAUCCAGGGCAGCGCCUUCUGGGUGGGAGUGGGGCGUGAAGGGUUCCCCCACCCCCCACAAAAAUGAUUAUUGUAUCGCUGUGAUCAGAGGCUGCUGGGAGCCCAGGGGAGGGGGUGCUGGGGAUGAGAUGAGAAUGGCCACCCUUUGGGAGGGAGGAAUGUGCACCUACCUUCUUGAGGCUGUGUGAUAGAAGGUGGUGGGGCGGGCCUGGGGGUCCUCACAGUGCCAAGUGAGAAACCCAGGGAUGCAAGAAGAGAGUGGACGUUUCUUGAAAUGGCGCCACACGCUGGCAGCGCAAGGGAACAGAUAUUUACCAGCUGAACCACAGCACACUGCCAAGAUAGAAGCCACAUCUGUGCCAACCAGUCAGGCUAGUCAAGAAUUUGGCACAUAGCAAGAAAAUGGAGACAGUCAGUCAAAGGCUCCCUGGUGCAGAGUAGUCAACUCCGGGUAAGGCACACAGUAUGCCCUUCCCGAAUCUCUCAUAAGUGUGUCUAACCCUUUGGCUCUGACAGAUAUUAUCGUCCAUAAAACUCUUGCUUGCCAUAUAAUUAAGUUAUAAGAAAAAAAUUGCAAAAAAAUCUGAUAAUGUUUUAAGCAUGUUCGUGAUUUUUGUGUCAGGGCACAUGUAGCACAUGGGGUGUGAGUUGGACUUGUGCUAACAAUCGCAUGUCUGGAGUAAGGUUUUGGGUAGGGUCUUGGGCCCUGUGUCCCUCACUGAAACCUGUAGGGAGGAUCAGAGCUUGGGGCUGAGGGCCUAGAAGAAGAGCCUCAGGGACCCCAAGGUCUUCCCUGGCAAGGGUGUUGGGCAAGGGGAAGCCUCCCGGGGAGGAAGCCCCCCUGGGGAGAGCUAGGGGGACCCAGUCUUGUCUGCUGAGGUUAGUAACUUCUUGGCCCUCGGUGAGCUGCCAGAACAGCAUGCCCCUCUGAAACACCACUGGGCCUGGAACAUCUUAAUAGCAUUAAAGAAAAGACCAUGACCAAGCCCCAUUCAUCUUACGAAAAUUGUCCCUGUGCUUGACACGUUGUAUAGGACACAUUUUUUAAAAAAUAAAAACAGGGCUUUGAGCAAAAGAAGCCCAAUUUGUUGAAAACAACCUGUGGAGUUGUGACAGAUGUGAUUUUGACUAACGAGAGCCAACUGGAUGGGAGCGGGGUUUUCAAUUAUGGAUGAGCUAAUUACAGGGGCACGUGGAGUUGAGAUUGCCGCCACGGCUCUGCCUCUCUCCCUCUGACUGGUCCAGCCUGCUAGUUAGGAUAAUUAAUGAGACCUUGGUCUUGCAUUAUUUUGCCAGGCGCAAACUCUCACUUAAUUUUCUGACCUGCGGUUUACCGUGAGGUUUGCCCACGGGGCGCAGGGGUCCAGGUGGGAUGCGCUGCUCCCUUUGCAGGAAUCUCGGGGUUUAAUGAAAGCCUCUUGCGGCUUUGCAGAGCUCCCUUCUUCAUCUGCAGGGGGUGACUGUAGCUCAGAUCUCCAGAGCAACUCGCGGACUCUGGCUACCACGAAUAAGCAAGGCUAGGUUAAAAGACAGACAAGGCUGAAGUCCUUGGGGGUAGCUUUGGAAAAGCCACCCCUACACAGUGGCUGAAGAGCAAUUGCCAGCACAGGAUCUAUGAGUGUCUGGCUGAGGGCUGGCCCACCCGGCAGGGUUAGCUUCUGGAAGCAGCUAACUGAAGUCCCGCCCUCCUUUUUUUCUUUACAAACGUUAAAAAAAAUAAAAGUGCCUGAUUACAUCACACAUUUACAAAGUUUGGGCAUUGAGGUGCUUUUUAAAAUUUUCUGAAAAAAAUUUUCCUGUAUGUACUAUUUAAUCCAUGGAAACUUCAUGCCGUCAGGUGACAUGCAAAUGACCAAAUUCAGGCAGAAAGGAGCGGAAUAAUUUGUCUAGUCUCCCAAAGAUUCCAGCGUCAGAGCCUGGAGUGGAUCUGAGACAGUCAGACUUCAAAGUCCCCAGCUUAACUACCCACCACACCACCUGCAGAGCAGUGUGGAUCCCCCUCUAGGGAAUUGGCCACAUGUGAAAUAGUUCUUUCCUCCCCUUCACUCGCUCCUGGGGAGGAAGUUUAAUGUCACUUCUGUGGUCGGCUGUAUUAGCACCCUCAUCCCUGCUUUGAGAGUAACUCUCCAAGGGUCACCAUAGAUUCACUCCAAAACCCAAGGUUAAGACUGGCAGACAACAUCUUUGUCUUUGCAGCCGAAUAAAUGUCACCUGUUACAACGGCAGGCGGUGGGCUGCGAUUUCUCCUUGCAUACAGACUCUCUGUUUAAAGCGUCUAAUUCCCUUGCUUUUUGCUUGCAUGAUAUGUCAAUGUGCCUUAAGAUCCCUUCAGCCUCCUUGUAACUGUAGCAAGUCUCUGAGAUUUAAUUUAAAAAGCCCUGACAUACCAUUCCCCAGUUCAUCCAU
This is a long non-coding RNA of Mesocricetus auratus (golden hamster), 5627 nucleotides long. RefSeq lists it as uncharacterized. The record is from RefSeq and is a predicted model, not a curated record. Lineage: Eukaryota; Metazoa; Chordata; Mammalia; Rodentia; Cricetidae. The transcript is spliced from 3 exons.